CUGCGCAGAUUGGCGCACAUCAUACCGUUUUAGGGAACUUAGUACAGAGGUUGGGUCGUAUUGAAAAUGUUUUUAAAAGCUAGAUUUUUAUUCUUUUACUGUAGGAUUAGUUUAAUUGGAUACUUUAGAAAUGUAGGAUAUAAGUAGGAGUCUAAAUGCUGUAAAAUAUCUGAAUUUUAUACCAUCGUGAGCAGCGGGUUCACGCCAAGAUGGCCGAGUCAUCGCCCGGUUGACGAAAACUGCAGACAUCUCCCCAAAUCGUGUAUAAUUUGAGGAGUUUUGAUUUAUUUUGCUUCAAUCAUCACCGCCGCCGCCGUUGUCCCACACAAUGUUCAGCAUCCAAGCAGGGCGUAUGAUUGCAGCUACUCUGUAGUAAUACAUAUUGGCUUAUAAUCAAGUCGAUAAUAAGGCGCGUUAAUAAUCGUCAGGACCAGGCAGCGCUAAAUCAAUUUUUUUGAAAACAAAGAUGAUCUAUUUAGGUCGAGUCGGAGCUUACCGGUCGGUUUAAUGGAAGGAGGAUUUUUAGUUAGGAGUCUGGGUAGGAAUUUUCCGUAUCCAGUAGAGAUUGGAGGCCAUAGAUCGUGAAUAAGUCGGCUAUCGGAACAGAAUAUUGCAGUACGAUAGAUAAAUCCAAAUAUAAACUGUUUGAAAAAAGAAAUACACAUUUAAAUAAACAUGGAACGAUAUUAGAAUAUACUGAAUGUUCACUUUUCCACAAUACAUUAGAAUGUAAUAGUUAACUACAUUUGAACAAUAAAGAUAAUCCAUCAUGAGGUUAAUUUAUUUUGCCUUGUAUCCUGGUUCGGGAAAGUAACAUGUGAGUUUGAAGUCGAUACGUUUUCGAUUUGUUUCGCUGUCUGGUGUUAUGUUAGCGGCAGAAUUACGUGUACCCUGGAUUAAGUAGAUUAUUGUCAAUUUCAUAUACACAGAGGAAUGGUGAUGUUUAUUGCACAAUGUCUGAAACUAGAACAGGUUUAAGCAUUUUUUCGAUACAAUGGAAACUCAUUUAAAUAUCGGGAUAGAUAAUACUAAUAACAAGACUAUUUACAAGAGAGAGAGAUUCCUUAAAAUGCUAGUCAAAAGUAAAAGGAGUAUUAUUUUCCAAUUCCCAAAUAAAGCAUUCAAGUUUGCUAUCUUAAAUAAUCAAUUAUAAAUCCUACGAAGAACGGAAAUAUGAUCAGAUAGAUCAUAAAGAAAUAAUGAAUAAUCUUGUACGGAAAGUUACUAUAAAUUUAUCUCUUAACAUAAAGGAGCCAAUGUUAAAUAAUCACACAAAUUAUCAUAAAAAUCGUAUAUAGAACUCAAUCUUCGAAUGAAAUCUUUACAUGAAACGAAAAUAGAAAAUUUAAUUUAAAUGAAUCUUCAAGAUAAAUCCGCCCCACAGAGCAAUACAACUUACAUUUCAGAUAAAAUGCUCUCAUAAAGCGAAGAUUGAAGACCUUUUAAACUAUUAAUAAUUUCUAAUAAUAUUUAUUGACAUUUAUAUAUUUAUCAUGAAACCCUUCUAUUAUAGCUUCUUUUACAGGUUUAUUUUUAAUUAAAGAUUUUAUACAGAUUUAAAGAAUUAAUAUUAAACGAAAAAUUAUUCGGUUGUUAAAAAACGAAUUCAAGGUUCAAAAUGUUAUAAAACACUAUUUAAUUUAUGGGAUAACCAUUAGAAGCACUAUUGGCAAAACUUUGCGGAUUUACUGCGUCUACGCAAAAGCAAAUUUUAUUUACAUUUAAAAUGUAAAGGAUCUGAGUACAACGGGACAUCUCGCGGGAUUUACAUCACGGAACUAACGAAGGAAUAUAAACAACAAAUAUAUACGACACAUCAUAGAAAAGAGAAAAACGAAACAAUCAAAAGACGACAACAAUACGAAAAAAAAAUAUUAAUACCUAAUUAUUUGGAGAAGAUUGCAUCAUCUUAUUUACUUAAACCUUUUCCUAUAAACUUCUAAUCUAUACAUAUAAUAUAAUAAUAGUUUUCCUAUAUUUUAGCUUUGUAAAGAAACCUUAAAAUU
Long non-coding RNA from Papilio machaon (common yellow swallowtail), 2006 nucleotides. RefSeq lists it as uncharacterized. The transcript is spliced from 6 exons. The record is from RefSeq and is a predicted model, not a curated record. Lineage: Eukaryota; Metazoa; Arthropoda; Insecta; Lepidoptera; Papilionidae.